RNAcentral lists this ribosomal RNA (197 nucleotides) under uncultured bacterium. Its description in RNAcentral is "partial 16S ribosomal RNA". It matches the Rfam family "Bacterial small subunit ribosomal RNA", at positions 328 to 539 of the family's 1533-position model. The record is from RNAcentral.
ACGCUCGACACCUACGGGAGGCAGCAGUGGGGAAUAUUGCACAAUGGGGGAAACCCUGAUGCAGCGACGCCGCGUGAGCGAAGAAGUAUUUCGGUAUGUAAAGCUCUAUCAGCAGGGAAGAAACUGACGGUACCUGACUAAGAAGCACCGGCUAAAUACGUGCCAGCAGCCGGGUAAUCUGAGCGGGCUGGCAAGGC